RNAcentral lists this long non-coding RNA (210 nucleotides) under Gallus gallus (chicken). Lineage: Eukaryota; Metazoa; Chordata; Aves; Galliformes; Phasianidae. The record is from RNAcentral.
CGCGCACCACCAGAUCAGAUCAGGAUGCCCAGGAUCGCAUCCAGCCUGGCCUCACAUGACUCCAGAGAUGGGGCAUCCAGAACCCCUCUGGGCAGGAUCUUGCUGUUCCAGUGCCCCGCCACUUGCUGAGCAAAGAAUCUCUUCCUAACGCCUAACCUCUCUCUAUCCUCUUUUAGUUUAAAGCCAGUCCCCCUUGUCCUAUCACUAUCG